This 479-nucleotide ribosomal RNA is filed under the name uncultured Sphingobacteriales bacterium. RNAcentral describes it as "bacterial SSU rRNA". It matches the Rfam family "Bacterial small subunit ribosomal RNA", at positions 904 to 1382 of the family's 1533-position model. Lineage: Bacteria; Pseudomonadati; Bacteroidota; Sphingobacteriia; Sphingobacteriales. The record is from RNAcentral.
CUCAAGGAAUUGACGGGGCCCGCACAAGCGGUGGAGCAUGUGGUUUAAUUUCGAUGAUACGCGAGGAACCUUACCUGGGCUCAAAUGUAUGUUGACGUAUUCUGAAAGGGAUACUUCUUCGGACAAUAUACAAGGUGCUGCAUGGUUGUCGUCAGCUCGUGCCGUGAGGUGUCGGGUUAAGUCCCAUAACGAGCGCAACCCCUAUCAUUAGUUGCCAUCAGGUCAAGCUGGGGACUCUAAUGAAACUGCCUACGCAAGUAGUGAGGAAGGUGGGGAUGACGUCAAGUCAUCAUGGCCCUUACGGCCUGGGCUACACACGUGCUACAAUGGUCGGUACAAAGGGUUGCCAAGCCGCGAGGUGGAGCUAAUCCCAUAAAACCGAUCGUAGUCCGGAUCGCAGUCUGCAACUCGACUGCGUGAAGUCGGAAUCGCUAGUAAUCGUGAAUCAGAAUGUCACGGUGAAUACGUUCCCGGGCCUU